UACGUAGGGGGCAAGCGUUGUCCGGAUUUAUUGGGCGUAAAGAGCGUGUAGGCGGCGAGGUAGGUCAGCUGUGAAAACUCGAGGCUCAACCUCGAGAUGUCGGCUGAAACCAUCUGGCUAGAGUCCGGAAGAGGAGAAUGGAAUUCCCGGUGUAGCGGUGAAAUGCGCAGAUAUCGGGAAGAACACCCGUGGCGAAGGCGGUUCUCUGGGACGGUACUGACGCUGAGACGCGAAAGCGUGGGGAGCGAACAGG
This 253-nucleotide ribosomal RNA is filed under the name uncultured bacterium. RNAcentral's name for it is "partial 16S ribosomal RNA". It matches the Rfam family "Bacterial small subunit ribosomal RNA", at positions 524 to 776 of the family's 1533-position model. The record is from RNAcentral.